CGCGAAGUAGAGCAGCGGUAGCUCGUCGGGCUCAUAACCCGAAGGUCGUAGGUUCGAUCCCUACCUUCGCAA
This 72-nucleotide transfer RNA is filed under the name Chitinophagaceae bacterium. RNAcentral's name for it is "tRNA-Met". It matches the Rfam family "tRNA". From Rfam's summary of the family: Transfer RNA (tRNA) molecules are approximately 80 nucleotides in length. RNAcentral also lists the same sequence under 6 other names. Lineage: Bacteria; Pseudomonadati; Bacteroidota; Chitinophagia; Chitinophagales; Chitinophagaceae. The record is from RNAcentral.